RNAcentral lists this transfer RNA (72 nucleotides) under Bos taurus (domestic cattle). It matches the Rfam family "tRNA". Rfam says of the family: Transfer RNA (tRNA) molecules are approximately 80 nucleotides in length. Their secondary structure includes four short double-helical elements and three loops (D, anti-codon, and T loops). Further hydrogen bonds mediate the characteristic L-shaped molecular structure. tRNAs have two regions of fundamental functional importance: the anti-codon, which is responsible for specific mRNA codon recognition, and the 3' end, to which the tRNAs corresponding amino acid is attached (by aminoacyl-tRNA synthetases). tRNAs cope with the degeneracy of the genetic code in two manners: having more than one tRNA (with a specific anti-codon) for a particular amino acid; and 'wobble' base-pairing, i.e. permitting non-standard base-pairing at the 3rd anti-codon position. The record is from Rfam by way of RNAcentral. Lineage: Eukaryota; Metazoa; Chordata; Mammalia; Artiodactyla; Bovidae. RNAcentral also lists the same sequence under 4 other names.
UCCCUCGUGGCUUAGCUGGUAAAGAAUCUGCCUGCAAUGCAGGAGAUCUGGGUUCGAUCCCUGGGUUGGGAA